GAUGAACGCUGACAGAAUGCUUAACACAUGCAAGUCGAUGGGGAAGUGGUGCUUGCACCAUGGCAACCAUGGCGGACGGGUGAGUAACGCGUAAGGGACUUACCUGCAGGACUGGGAUAACAGGGGGAAACUCCUGACAAGACCGGAUAAUGUCAUGGAGCUGCAUGGCUUUAUGAUGAAAGGAGACGCCUGCGGAGAGCCUUGCGUCCUAUUAGCUAGUUGGUGAGGUAAUGGCUCACCAAGGCGAAGAUAGGUAGCCGGCCUGAGAGGGUGGACGGCCACAAGGGGACUGAGAGACGGCCCUGACGCCUACGGGAGGCAGCAGUGGGGAAUAUUGGACAAUGGGGGCAACCCUGAUCCAGCAAUUCUGUGUGCACGAAGAAGGUUUUCGGAUUGUAAAGUGCUUUCAGCAGGGAAGAGGUAAGUGACGGUACCUGCAGAAGAAGCGACGGCUAAAUACGUG
Molecule: ribosomal RNA, 463 nt
Filed under: uncultured bacterium
Lineage: Bacteria
Description: partial 16S ribosomal RNA
Rfam family: Bacterial small subunit ribosomal RNA
Source: RNAcentral